This 464-nucleotide ribosomal RNA is filed under the name uncultured bacterium. RNAcentral describes it as "partial 16S ribosomal RNA". It matches the Rfam family "Bacterial small subunit ribosomal RNA", at positions 28 to 507 of the family's 1533-position model. The record is from RNAcentral.
GACGAACGCUGGUGGCGUGCUUAACACAUGCAAGUCGAACGGAAAGGCCCUGCUUGCAGGGUACUCGAGUGGCGAACGGGUGAGUAACACGUGGGUGAUCUGCCCUGCACUUCGGGAUAAGCCUGGGAAACUGGGUCUAAUACCGGAUAGGAGCCAUUUUUAGUGUGAUGGUUGGAAAGUUUUUUCGGUGUAGGAUGAGCUCGCGGCCUAUCAGCUUGUUGGUGGGGUAAUGGCCUACCAAGGCGGCGACGGGUAGCCGGCCUGAGAGGGUGGACGGCCACAUUGGGACUGAGAUACGGCCCAGACUCCUACGGGAGGCAGCAGUGGGGAAUAUUGCACAAUGGGCGCAAGCCUGAUGCAGCGACGCCGCGUGGGGGAUGACGGCCUUCGGGUUGUAAACUCCUUUCGCUAGGGACGAAGCUUUUGUGACGGUACCUAGAUAAGAAGCACCGGCUAACUACGUG